UUACUUGGGAGCACGUAUACUAGAAUUGGAACAGUACAGAGAUAAGCAGCACCUCUCCACAAGGAUGAUGUGCAAAUUCAUAAAGGAUUUCAUGUUUAA
This 99-nucleotide small nuclear RNA is filed under the name Microtus ochrogaster (prairie vole). Lineage: Eukaryota; Metazoa; Chordata; Mammalia; Rodentia; Cricetidae. The record is from RNAcentral.